RNAcentral lists this long non-coding RNA (1427 nucleotides) under Lonchura striata (white-rumped munia). RNAcentral describes it as "domestica (Bengalese finch) lncRNA (ENSLSDG00000010853.1)". The record is from RNAcentral. Lineage: Eukaryota; Metazoa; Chordata; Aves; Passeriformes; Estrildidae.
AUCUGCUGAGGCCACAGCCUCAGCCUUGCAGGGCUCACCCAGGGGUGCCUCAGUCUGGUGGAUGUUCAGUGUCCCCCCUCAAACCCCUCCUUCCAUGGUGCUCCUUCCCUGGGGGCUCCACGUGGGUAAUUCCUUUUUUUCCCUCUUUUUCCCAAGCCCUGGCUCUGCCCCCAGCGUGUCCCUGGGCACGACCUGGGAGGAAAGUGUGUUUGUGUGUGGGAAUGGGGAUUCUGUUUGCUCAGAGCAGAGCAGUGAAUUCUCCAUUUGGAAAAUCUUCCUGGGUGCUGGGGCAGGGAUUGACUGCAGGGCAUGGAGAGCUGGAAUGCCCAGCAGGGAUGGCACAGGGAUUGUGCCACGGUGGCAGUGCCACCUGCCCAGCGUGAGCCCCCUGUCCCCAGGGAGAAGGGAAGGUUGUGCCUUUGUGUCUGGGCUGAAAAAAGAACAUUUUGCUGCAUUUCCCUGGGGUUCUGCUCCAUGCCCUGCUGCACAAAGCUGUCGUCAGGAUAGCACAGAAUUUAUCACUUAUUUCCCCCUGGGUCUGCCUUAGUUCUGGCCAAUGUUCCCUGCAGUCAAUCCUGUGCAGAGGAGUGCCCCAAACUGCAGCAGCUUUAUUUUUGGGAGCCCUCACAGCAAACGGAGCAGGCAGCAGGUGCUGGGUGCCUGGCACGGGCAGUGCUGGAGAGCCAGCCCCACCUGGCAGAUGGCACAGAAUCAAUGAGAGAAUCAGUCACAGAAUUGGGGAAUCAAUCACAGAAUUGGGGAAUCAAUCAUAGAAAUGGGGAAUCAAUCACAGAAAUGGGGAAUCAGUCACAGAAUUGGGGAAUCAAUCACAGAAUUGGGGAAUCAAUCACAGAAUUGGGGAAUCAAUCACAGAAUUGGGGAAUCAAUCACAGAAAUGGGGAAUCAAUCACGGAAUCAGGGAAUCAAUCACAGAAAUGGGGAAUCAAUCACAGAAAUGGGCAAUCAGUCACAGAAUCAGGGAAUCAGUCAGAAUCAAUGGCACACAAUCACACAAUCACAUAAUCAAUCAUAUAAUCAAUCACAUACACAAUCACACACACACACACAAUCACACACAAUCAGAAUCACACACACAAUCACACACACAAUCCCACACACAGUCACCAGGUUGGAAGGGACCUCCACGACCAUCGAGUCCAACCCGGCCCCAACAACUCCACCCUGGCACCCAGUGUCACAUCCAGGCUUUGUUAAACACACCCAGGGAUGGGGACUCCCCCACCUCCCCAGUCCCUGGGAAUUCCCAAAAUUCCCAGAAUUCACAGAAUUACCAGGAUAGAAGAGACCUCCAAGCCCAUCAAGUCCAACCCAGCCCCAACAACUCAACUCCACCCUGGCACCCAGUGCCACAUCCAGGCUUUGUUAAACACACCCAGGGAUGGGGACUCCACCACCUCCCCGGGCUG